GUGAGGAAUAUUGCGCAAUGGAGGCAACUCUGACGCAGCCAUGCCGCGUGCAGGAAGAAGGCGCUACGCGUUGUAAACUGCUUUUAACCGGGAAGAAACCCCAGGACGUGUCCUGGGUUGACGGUACCGGAGGAAUAAGCACCGGCUAACUUCGUGCCAGCAGCCGCGGUAAUACGAAGGGUGCAAGCGUUAUCCGGAUUCAUUGGGUUUAAAGGGUGCGUAGGCGGAGCGUUAAGUCAGUGGUGCAAUUCUGCAGCUUAACUGUAGACUUGCCAUUGAUACUGGCGCUCUUGAGUGCGGGUGAAGUGGGCGGAAUGUGCCGUGUAGCGGUGAAAUGCUUAGGUAUGGCACAGAACACCAAUUGCGAAGGCAGCUCACUAAGGCGAUACUGACGCUGAGGCGCGAAAGCGUGGGGAUCGAACCGGAUUAGAUACCCUUGUAGUCC
This 445-nucleotide ribosomal RNA is filed under the name uncultured bacterium. Its description in RNAcentral is "partial 16S ribosomal RNA". It matches the Rfam family "Bacterial small subunit ribosomal RNA", at positions 354 to 796 of the family's 1533-position model. The record is from RNAcentral.